UCCACGCAGUAAACGAUGAAUGUUAGUCGUCGGGAUGCAAGUCAUUUCGGUGAUGCAGUUAACACAUUAAACAUUCCGCCUGGGGAGUACGGUCGCAAGAUUAAAACUCAAAGGAAUAGACGGGGACCCGCACAAGUGGUGGAGCAUGUGGUUUAAUUCGAAGAUACGCGAAGAACCUUACCUGGGCUUGACAUACGAAGAAUCUUCCAGAGACGGAGGAGUGCCUGCUUGCA
This 233-nucleotide ribosomal RNA is filed under the name uncultured bacterium. RNAcentral describes it as "partial 16S ribosomal RNA". It matches the Rfam family "Bacterial small subunit ribosomal RNA", at positions 794 to 1026 of the family's 1533-position model. The record is from RNAcentral.